UACAGAGGUCUCAAGCGUUGUUCGGAUUCAUUGGGCGUAAAGGGUGCGUAGGCGGCGCGGUAAGUCGGGUGUGAAAUCUCGGAGCUUAACUCCGAAACUGCAUUCGAUACUGCCGUGCUUGAGGACUGGAGAGGAGACUGGAAUUUACGGUGUAGCGGUGAAAUGCGUAGAUAUCGGAAGGAACAUCAGUGGCGAAAGCGACUUCCUGGACCAGUACCGACGUCAGGCACGAAAGCGUGGGGAGCAAACAGG
This 252-nucleotide ribosomal RNA is filed under the name uncultured bacterium. RNAcentral's name for it is "partial 16S ribosomal RNA". It matches the Rfam family "Bacterial small subunit ribosomal RNA", at positions 524 to 776 of the family's 1533-position model. The record is from RNAcentral.